This is a non-coding RNA of Dermacentor albipictus, 2344 nucleotides long. Lineage: Eukaryota; Metazoa; Arthropoda; Arachnida; Ixodida; Ixodidae. The record is from RefSeq and is a predicted model, not a curated record.
CUGCGGUACCUUCAGCAAUAUGGCAGAAGAUUUGCGAUAAUAGGUUUCGAAGACAGUCUGCCAACAAUCCAGUACAUGGAGACAGUAUUCAAAUGGUUCACUAUACACAACAUCAGAAGUACCACCUUUCACAUUGUAAGCCGGGACCCAAACAGGAUGCCGUUCAGCUCUCCAGAUGAUGACAGGUUGCUGUGGCUGGAAAAAGAAUUUUUGCCCUUCUUCGCAUCGUGGAAGGCUGCAGCACCCCACAAGAGGGCAUUCAUAUCUGUCGAAACACACGAAGCUUUGCAGGUCACCACAAUGUCCACAGUCCGGUGCACACAAUUCUUCCUCCGUUCCGGUUUCCUUUAUGUGUUGACUUCAAAAUUAUCCAGUGACCCUGUCGAGGCACUUUUUUCCACCAUUCGGCAACUAAAUGGGUCGAACGACCUGACAGACGCCCGUGCAGCACUUUCAUCUCUGCAAAAAGUUCUAGUUAUGGGCAUGUUUCACUCAUCACCAAGCGGCAACACACAGAAGGCAAUGGGUCCUCUUGGAUCCCAACCCGCCCUUUCAACCUCGUGGCCCACAGAGGAAACGAAUUCAACAGCACUACAAGAGUCAAGAGCCGUUCAAGAGCCAUCAGCCAAGGCUUCAUUGGCCAUGCCUGCUCCGACAAUGGGACAAGCGAUGCGGCCAUACUUGGCGGCUCUGCGGAUUUACUGUGGCCCACCCCAGCCAGGCAUCAGGGCGAGCACGCUUGGCCUCAUUGCAGGUUUUCUCUUCAGAGCAGCUGAGGACAGCAUCAACUGCAGCCAAUGCAUGGAAAAAAUCACUGGACAUAACAAUUGUUAUGUCCAGUGACAGUGGAGGUCGUUAACUGUAGCACCAAAGUAAUGGACCACUGCCAGAACAAAGGCAUGUAGUAUGCCCAUCUCAAUUCUUCUGUUUAUGCCAGUUCUUUUUUACAGCAAUAGCUGCUAUGGGCUAACUCCCCUAGUUGUUCUGAUGUCUACUGGUGUUGUCACUGAAAUUCCCAAAUUUCUUGCUAGAAUAUUGCAAAUAAAGUUCUCAUUGUGCUGCGAGGAUUCAAGCAUACGCUCAAGAGUGGCAGUCCACCAUUCUACAUUUCAGCCACUCUGCUGAAGGUACAGUCGUGGUGAAUACUGAUCCCGGAGAGCGUGAUCUAGCCAACAGGUGCCAUGAUUGGCUAACACCUGCUUAAUGUCUGCGUACUGUACAUAGAGCUGGCAUCCCCACCUUCAAGUUCUUACACAUCACCUUCCCACUUGUGAAGGCAGUCCUAUGUUAAAUUUUCUCCUUAUAUGUGAUUACAAUGAUUGGGUGCAUCUGCUUCAUUAAUAUUCUUCUAGUGCUUGGCUUCUCAGAUUUACUGGAUGGAGCUGUUGGUGUCUUGUUUUCCUCAAGCAAAGCGUGAGAUCUAGCGAUGGGUAGCCCAAAUAUAGAUUUGAGAAAACCAAAAUGAAUUCAGCAGUAAGAACCUAAAGGGUUGUUUUGGUGUAGAUCAGUGGCCAAGUCCGGAUAUGAAAGAGGAGGAAGAAAAGCCAAGUCUUUCCACUUCAACACUGGGAGGCGCAACUCAAAUAAAUAUGACUUACUUAUUUUACUUUUUAAGGUUACUGACUUGCAUUGGCAAGUGUUCACUUCAAUAAACACUGCAUAUUUCACCAGCUACUGCAUCAUUGUUUCGCAUUGAGUGAAACUGCAAUUUUCUUUAUGCCACAAGGUGCCCAAUUUUGUGCUUUGCAGUAAGAUGUUAGCAGUGCUAUUAAGGCACUUAAUUACUCAUGAAUAGUAGUAGCAAGAAAAAAAAAAGUAAGAAAGCAGCGGCUUUUUGUGCGUAGACUAUGCAUACACCUGGUGCUCUUAUGGUCAUCUUUUUCCUAUCCGCUAAACCAUUCUAAACAAGAAAAGUUUAUCCACAGACCACAACUAAACCACAGGUACCGUUGGUAAGCAAAGUAUAUUUAUUCGGUGGCAUUUUCUGCAGCCCUGCUAUUGGGCUUUCCUUCCUUUUCAGCUGUGCAGGUUCAUUAAGAAGUGAUGAGACAGUUUGACAAUUUUAAUCGUUGAAAGACUUAGCCUUUCUCGGGUUGUUUUUUGUUGGUUUCAGACUCUGCACAUUGCAUUUUAGGGUGCGUGUUCUGUGUUUGUUGCUUUUUCUUUAUGGGUAGGGCAUGUCAACAUUUUUUACACCAUUUCAACUAUGUGGUGCCAUAGACUGUUUUUAGAUGCAGUCUUGCCCUUUCAUUCUGUAGAAUAUGAUGUCGUUCUCUUGUGUCCAAGGCCAUUUUACAGCGUGAUUGUAGCAUUUUGCUAAGUUUUGCCUCUGUCACCCAAGCUU